UUGAAUUCCAAACGUAAAGGACCUUGCUGUGCGCCUUCACCGGCUUGCACGCUUCGUCUGAUACAUUUACACCUGUGCACCUUUGACCCGCUUAGUCGGGUCCUUACACACACACUUUAAAAUCUUAGAAUGUUUUUAUUUAAAAUUAUGA
RNAcentral lists this unclassified non-coding RNA (151 nucleotides) under uncultured Hymenochaetales. Its description in RNAcentral is "sequence contains ITS1". Lineage: Eukaryota; Fungi; Basidiomycota; Agaricomycetes; Hymenochaetales. The record is from RNAcentral.